RNAcentral lists this transfer RNA (74 nucleotides) under uncultured Rhodoluna sp. RNAcentral's name for it is "tRNA-Ala". It matches the Rfam family "tRNA". From Rfam's summary of the family: Transfer RNA (tRNA) molecules are approximately 80 nucleotides in length. Their secondary structure includes four short double-helical elements and three loops (D, anti-codon, and T loops). The record is from RNAcentral. Lineage: Bacteria; Bacillati; Actinomycetota; Actinomycetes; Micrococcales; Microbacteriaceae.
GGGCCCGUGGCGCAGCUGGUAGCGCACCUGCAUGGCAUGCAGGGGGUCAGGGGUUCAAAUCCCCUCGGGUCCAC